GGGAAUAUUGCGCAAUGGAGGAAACUCUGACGCAGUGACGCCGCGUAUAGGAAGAAGGUUUUCGGAUUGUAAACUAUUGUCGUGAGGGAAGAAAUUGACAGUACCUCAGGAGGAAGCUCCGGCUAACUAUGUGCCAGCAGCCGCGGUAAUACAUAGGGAGCAAGCGUUAUCCGGAUUUACUGGGUGUAAAGGGAGCGUAGACGGCAGCGCAAGUCUGGAGUGAAAUGCCGGGGCCCAACCCCGGAACUGCUUUGGAAACUGUGCAGCUCGAGUGCAGGAGAGGUAAGCGGAAUUCCUAGUGUAGCGGUGAAAUGCGUAGAUAUUAGGAGGAACACCAGUGGCGAAGGCGGCUUACUGGACUGUAACUGACGUUGAGGCUCGAAAGCGUGGGGAGCAAACAGG
This 402-nucleotide ribosomal RNA is filed under the name uncultured bacterium. RNAcentral's name for it is "bacterial SSU rRNA". It matches the Rfam family "Bacterial small subunit ribosomal RNA", at positions 357 to 776 of the family's 1533-position model. The record is from RNAcentral.